Molecule: ribosomal RNA, 253 nt
Filed under: uncultured prokaryote
Description: partial 16S ribosomal RNA
Rfam family: Bacterial small subunit ribosomal RNA
Source: RNAcentral
ACGGGGGGAGCAAGCGUUGUUCGGAUUUACUGGGCGUAAAGGGCUCGUAGGCGGUUUGUCACGUCGGGAGUGAAAACUCAGGGCUCAACCCUGAGCGUGCUUCCGAUACGGGCAGACUAGAGGUAUGCAGGGGAGAACGGAAUUCCUGGUGUAGCGGUGGAAUGCGCAGAUAUCAGGAGGAACACCGGUGGCGAAGGCGGUUCUCUGGGCAUUACCUGACGCUGAGGAGCGAAAGCAUGGGGAGCGAACAGGA